UAAUACCAGUCGUGAUCAAAACACCUCUGGAAAGAACUGACAAGCAAACAUCCCAGGGUGGCGAAUAGAGUUAAAGUCAAUGGAAAUAUGUGCGCGAUAGUGUAGUGACGUUGAUUGUAUUGUAUUGUACUAACUUUAUCAAAAUAAAUUAAUUUCCGAACAAAUGGCGAUGAGACAGUUUUGGACUGAAUGAUGGAGCAGGCAAAAUUCAACCAAAAAAGCGCAUUUCGCGGAACUCUGUAUACACCAACGCAGGCGAUAGCAGUUCCGCCAUGGGAAAAGUUAUAAAAUGAAUGUCAACGGAAGCAUGUCGUCAAACCAUGUGGAUUGCAAUUUUAAAAAGAAACGAGACCAGAUGAUGAGAUGGUGGCGAGCCACAGUAAGACCCCUUGAUCAGUGCGACUCUUCUAGUGUUGUGGGCAACGGUACUGCGAUCGGUCCGUGUUGCAGUGGAGUGAAAAUUUAUUUAGAGUACCAAAUAUGUAAGAGCGGCUGCAGUAUCAGACCAAAAUGUUUAAUGACUUUUUUAUUAGGGAAUAAAAUGAUUCGUAAAUAAAUAAAUAAAUAAACAAAUGAAACUUAUGAAAAAUCGUACCCCGUAUAUCACAAGACAAGACAAUUAAAUGUUUGGAUCCACUAUUUUUCAAGAUUAAUCUCCCGAUAUGAAGUAAUAAAUUUAUGUUGGAAAUAAAGAACAUUAUGACAUUGUAACAAUAUUUAUUUAUUAUGAUUGUAAAAAAUAUAUUGGGAUUAUGCAAAUCAAUACCAAA
This is a long non-coding RNA of Armigeres subalbatus, 770 nucleotides long. RefSeq lists it as uncharacterized. The record is from RefSeq and is a predicted model, not a curated record. Lineage: Eukaryota; Metazoa; Arthropoda; Insecta; Diptera; Culicidae. The transcript is spliced from 2 exons.